AUGCGUUGUUGGGUAGGGGAGCGUUCUGUAAGCCUGCGAAGGUGUGCUGUGAGGCAUGCUGGAGGUAUCAGAAGUGCGAAUGCUGACAUAAGUAACGAUAAAGCGGGUGAAAAGCCCGCUCGCCGGAAGACCAAGGGUUCCUGUCCAACGUUAAUCGGGGCAGGGUGAGUCGACCCCUAAGGCGAGGCCGAAAGGCGUAGUCGAUGGGAAACAGGUUAAUAUUCCUGUACUUGGUGUUACUGCGAAGGGGGGACGGAGAAGGCUAUGUUGGCCGGGCGACGGUUGUCCCGGUUUAAGCGUGUAGGCUGGUUUUCCAGGCAAAUCCGGAAAAUCAAGGCUGAGGCGUGAUGACGAGGCACUACGGUGCUGAAGCAACAAAUGCCCUGCUUCCAGGAAAAGCCUCUAAGCAUCAGGUAACAUCAAAUCGUACCCCAAACCGACACAGGUGGUCAGGUAGAGAAUACCAAGGCGCUUGAGAGAACUCGGGUGAAGGAACUAGGCAAAAUGGUGCCGUAACUUCGGGAGAAGGCACGCUGAUAUGUAGGUGAAGCGACUUGCUCGUGGAGCUGAAAUCAGUCGAAGAUACCAGCUGGCUGCAACUGUUUAUUAAAAACACAGCACUGUGCAAACACGAAAGUGGACGUAUACGGUGUGACGCCUGCCCGGUGC
RNAcentral lists this ribosomal RNA (669 nucleotides) under Escherichia coli. Its description in RNAcentral is "partial 23S ribosomal RNA". It matches the Rfam family "Bacterial large subunit ribosomal RNA", at positions 1216 to 1869 of the family's 2925-position model. Lineage: Bacteria; Pseudomonadati; Pseudomonadota; Gammaproteobacteria; Enterobacterales; Enterobacteriaceae. The record is from RNAcentral.